AAGUCGUAACAAGGUUUCCGUAGGUGAACCUGCGGAAGGAUCAUUAACGAAUAACUAUGGUGUCUUGGUUGUAGCUGGCUCCUCGGAGCAAUGUGCACGCCCGCCAUUUUUAUCUUUCCACCUGUGCACCGACUGUAGGUCUGGAUGACUCUCGUACUCCGGUGCGGAUGCGAGGAUUGCUCUUGGGCUCUCCUCGAAUUUCCAGACUCUACGUCUUUUUACACACCCCAAACGUAUGAUACAGAAUGUAGUCAAUGGGCUUGAUCGCCUAUAAAACACUAUACAACUUUCAGCAACGGAUCUCUUGGCUCUC
This 313-nucleotide unclassified non-coding RNA is filed under the name Coprinellus micaceus. Its description in RNAcentral is "partial internal transcribed spacer region". The stretch from base 1 to 46 matches the Rfam family "Eukaryotic small subunit ribosomal RNA", at positions 1786 to 1831 of the family's 1831-position model. Lineage: Eukaryota; Fungi; Basidiomycota; Agaricomycetes; Agaricales; Psathyrellaceae. The record is from RNAcentral.